AAUAUUGCACAAUGGGCGAAAGCCUGACGACGCAACGCCGCGUGGAGGACGAAGAUCUUCGGGUCGUAAACUCCUUUCGAUCGGGACGAAUGGCCGGUGACCUACUACGUCGCCGGAGUGACGGUACCGAGAGCAGAAGCCCCGGCUAACUCCGUGCCAGCAGCCGCGGUAAUACGGGGGGGGCAAGCGUUGUUCGGAAUUACUGGGCGUAAAGGGCGCGUAGGCGGCCUGCUAAGUCACACGUGAAAUCCCUCGGCUCAACCGGGGAACUGCGUGUGAUACUGGCGGGCUUGAAUUCGGGAGAGGGAUGUGGAAUUCCAGGUGUAGCGGUGAAAUGCGUAGAUAUCUGGAGGAACACCGGUGGCGAAGGCGGCAUCCUGGACCGAGAUUGACGCUGAGGCGCGAAAGCUAGGGUAGCAAAC
Molecule: ribosomal RNA, 422 nt
Filed under: uncultured bacterium
Lineage: Bacteria
Description: bacterial SSU rRNA
Rfam family: Bacterial small subunit ribosomal RNA
Source: RNAcentral